GCCGAGUGAAGGAAAGCCCCUUUUAAAACCAUCAGAUCUCGUGAGAACUCACUCAGUAUCAUGAGAACAGCCGGGGGAAAACCGCAUCCGUGAUUCAAUUAUCUCCACCUGAUCCCACCCUUAAAACAUGGGGAUUAUUACAAUUCAAGGUGAGAUUUGGGUAGGGACACAGAGCCAAACCAUAUCAGACCUCAUUAGCCAUAUGACAAAUGGCAAAUUAUGUAACUUCUUGAUAUUUCAGUUUUUCUUCUAUGAAAGGAUUUAUCAGUACUGCCUAUCUCCUAGGGUUGUUGAGAAGAUUAAAUCAGUCAAUAUAUGUAAUGCCUUUAGAACACUGCUCUGCAAAUAGCAAGCACUAUGUACAUGCUAUUUUAUUAGUGGCAUCGGAAAACUGAUUCGGAUCAACAACUUCAUUUUGAAGCUAGCUCUGCAUGACAGCAUUGAAUACAAAUAUCACUGAUGAUGAUGAAUGGAUUGAGGAAUGCGGAAUGCAUUGUACUAAAAGGGUCCAGAAAUUGCCACAAGUCUCUUUUUGAGUCUCAGAGAAGCAAGGCCAUCAUGUAUAAGCCAGGAAUUAUUUUUGUCUGCAAUCAAUCCUUCAGAAGAAUCUCUCACAUCUUCACUUUUGUGCAGUAUGUUAACUAUGAACAAAAUGAUAGUGUAUGUCAGUCAAAUGUAAUACUUAUAUUAAAACCUGAUUAUUAAUGCAGAAGCUCAUGGAAAGUAAGGUUAAUCUGAAUAAUAUAUUAUUUCUCUUAGUCCACAAUCUAUCAUUUCACAAACCAUGGUUAAUAGAAUGACAAAAAUAAAAAGCUUUGUUUAAAUGAAAAUGUAUAAUAUAUUCUUCAUCUCAUUUAUAUCUUAUUGUGUUAGGUAGGCGAACAUAGCUAGUCUGUGAAUGUGAUAAAAAGAAGAUGAUACAUUUCUUUGUUUUAAAAAUCUUAAGUAUUCCUGCUAAAUAGUGAGUUUCCAAAGGCUUGCUAUUAUUUAAAAUAUUGC
RNAcentral lists this long non-coding RNA (999 nucleotides) under Homo sapiens (human). RNAcentral's name for it is "HSALNT0057511". The record is from RNAcentral. Lineage: Eukaryota; Metazoa; Chordata; Mammalia; Primates; Hominidae.